Molecule: ribosomal RNA, 368 nt
Filed under: uncultured bacterium
Lineage: Bacteria
Description: bacterial SSU rRNA
Rfam family: Bacterial small subunit ribosomal RNA
Source: RNAcentral
AACGAACGCUGGCGGCAGGCCUAACACAUGCAAGUCGAACGCCGUAGCAAUACGGAGUGGCAGACGGGUGAGUAACGCGUGGGAACAUACCCUUCGGUUCGGAAUAACUCAGGGAAACUUGAGCUAAUACCGGAUACGUCCAAGGUUUAAUCGCUUUGGAGAAAGAUUUAUCGCCGAGGGAUUGGCCCGCGUCUGAUUAGCUUGUUGGUGAGGUAAUGGCUCACCAAGGCGACGANCAGUAGCUGGUCUGAGAGGAUGAUCAGCCACAUUGGGACUGAGACACGGCCCAAACUCCUACGGGAGGCAGCAGUGGGGAAUAUUGGACAAUGGGCGAAAGCCUGAUCCAGCCAUGCCGCGUGAGUGAUGAA